UGGGGGUGCAAGUCAUUGGCCAUCUGAAACUUCAUCUUUCAACUCUGUGACCCUCUAAAUUCAUUCUGUCCCAAAACAAGUUGUUAGCCAGAGUGCCUUGAAUCUUAAGCAUAGCUUUAGAACAUGUGACCUGCGCGUGUUUUGGUCCAUUGAUAUUUAAUUUAGGCUUAGUUGAAGUACUUGUUUAAAAUAUCCAAUUACUGUGCAUGAUUUGAGCUCCAAAAUGUGAACUUCACAGGACCUUCUUUGAAAAACAGAAUCAGAAUUGGAAGCAAAUGAAAAAUGUCUCCUUGUAACCCAUCUCCCUCAUUUUGAAUUUCCUCAUGAUGUUCAUUUGUGUUUGCUGAAAUCCUGUUCUAAGUGCUUGUUAUCCACAUUCAUGAGUGUGUCUUAUUUCCCAAGCAAAUGAUUACAGGAACUAAACCCCCAAGUAGGUUGAAAUAUCUUACUGUCCAACUUUUAGAAUUAAAUGAUUAAGCUGAUGAGGGUUAUAAGUGGUUUCCUUUGGAUAUAAAUUAAAACCCAGUUUUUGUAUAAUUAAUAUAUUCAUACAUGGAAAUCUUGAUUAAAUGACCCUUAAGGUACCUUUUACUUACUGUUACACAUAAUCUGACUUUUCGUGUACAU
Molecule: long non-coding RNA, 627 nt
Filed under: Bos taurus (domestic cattle)
Lineage: Eukaryota; Metazoa; Chordata; Mammalia; Artiodactyla; Bovidae
Description: long non-coding RNA NONBTAT010857
Source: RNAcentral